AGCCUUUGGCCUAAGCGCCCAACGCGGCUAGCAGCUCCCGAGAGGCUCCCUCGAACACCGAGGUCUGUGACUAUGGAAGGAAUCGGGUAAAUGUAUUAUGUCUUUCAAGAAGAAUCUUCGCUUGAAGCAUCACGCGUUGAGAUCAACAACGGGAUUGAUUCAUCCGAUUCAACAACAUAGAAAGUUUAUAAAACAUUUUAAUUUUACUACACAAUUGAUUAUUG
RNAcentral lists this unclassified non-coding RNA (224 nucleotides) under Melitaea cinxia (Glanville fritillary). Its description in RNAcentral is "misc RNA ENSMCXG00005013864.1". Lineage: Eukaryota; Metazoa; Arthropoda; Insecta; Lepidoptera; Nymphalidae. The record is from RNAcentral.